Molecule: long non-coding RNA, 13732 nt
Organism: Felis catus (domestic cat)
Lineage: Eukaryota; Metazoa; Chordata; Mammalia; Carnivora; Felidae
Exons: 14
Source: RefSeq, a predicted model, not a curated record
GGUGCACGGCUUCAGGCAUGGGGCGCGGCUUCAGGCAAGUGGAGGUCCUGUGCCAUUCAGGCAAGGGGAGCGCCUGUGACACUCAGGCACGGAAUGCCCCAUCCUGCACAGGGAGCUCAGUCAGACUCAGGGCAUGCCUUCAGGCAUGGGGUAUGCCUUUAGAGAGUGCUGGUGCCUUUCAGGCAAGGGGAGUGCCUUCAGACAAGGGGAGUGCCUUCAGGCAUUGGAGGCUCUGUCCUGUGAGCACAGAGCCUGGGGUUUCUGUGCUGGGAGUACAGAGCCUGGAGGGGCUUCUUGGGAUUCUAUGUCUCCCUCUCUGUCCUUCCCCAGGAGGCUCUGUGGUGAGAGCAUAGAGCCUGGAGCCUGCUUGGGGUUCUGUGUCUCCCUCUCACUCUUUCCUUCCCCUGGAGUGUCUUCAGGCACUGGGAGUGCCAAUUUCAGGCACUGGGAGUGAUGACUGCAGUCCCUGUGAGUGGAGACUCCAGUCACUGGGAGUAACUGCAGACACUUAGAGUGACUUUGACUUCAGUCUAUGGGAGUGACUAUGACAUCAGUCACUGGGAAUGACUUUGACUUCAGUCACUGGGAGUGACUUCAGGAGUGACUUCAGUCACUGGGAGUGACUUCGGGAGUAACUUCAGUCACUGGGAGUGACUUCGGGAGUGACUUCAGUCAUUAGGGAAUGACUUCGAGAGGGACUUCCCUCACUGGGAGUGACUUCGGGCAUGACUUCUGACUCUGGGAGUGACAUCUGGAGUGACUUCCGUCACUUGCAGUCACUUCGGGAGUGACUUUCAUCACUGGGAGUGACUUCGAGAGGGACUUCCCUCACUGGGAGUGACUUUGGGAUGACUUCCUUCACUGGGAGUGACUUUGUCUUCAGUCACUGGAAGUGACUUUGACUUCAUUCCCUGGGAUUGUCUUUGGGAGUGACUUCAUUCACUGGGCAUGACUUCAGACAUUGGGAGUGACUGACUUCAGUCACUGGGUAUGCCCUCAGGCACUGGGCAUGCCUGUGCCCUUCAGGCAGGGGGCGAGCCUUCUGGCAUGGGUGGAGACUUCAGGCAAGGGGCGAGCCUUCAGGCAAGGGCAAGCCUUCAGACAUUGGACCUGCCUUCAGGCAUGGGACAUGGCUUCAUGCUCGGGGCAUGGCUUUAGGCAAGGGGCUUGCCUUCAGGUAAGGGGCUUGUCUUUAGGCAUGGGGCAUGCCUUCAGGCCCUGGGCAUGCCUUCAGGCACAGGGAGCGGCUUCAGGCAAGGGGCUUGCCUUCAGGUACUGGGAGCAUCUGUGCCCUUCAGGACACUUUCCAUGGAAAGUAACGCUGCACCACUUCUGGCCCCACAUGUGUGUGGUCAUAUCAGAUUUAGGAAUUUUGUCCUCAUCGAGAGAGAGAGAGAGAGAGAGAGAGAGAGAGAGAGAGAGAGAGAGAGAGAGAGAGAGUCUUAGCUAGUGUUUGGGUUUGGGCCAGGGCUGAAUGGACAGGAGACCCGUGAUCACCCUGGAAGGCUGAAGUGAGGGCCCAUGCACUAAUGCGUGUAAGGUUUAGGAUUAUGGUAAGAGUUGGUGUGAACUUUAGGUUGAGGGGUAUGGUGCGGGUCAAGGUUACUGUUAGGUUUAGGUCCCAGGAGGUUCUAGGCAUUGAACCCCUAGCAGUGCAGUGGUCUCCACAUAGGGUUGAAUGGAGACUGCAUGAAAGCCUCUAGUUCAGGCUUCGUCUUUCCAUGCCAGAGCCAGCCUCCCGUGAGUGCCACUCUUCAGUUGGGCCUCAGCACCCUCCUUGUGCAACUCCAUGCCGGCAGUGGAAUUGACAUGAUGAUGUUCCAAUUCCAUACCGAAUAAUACUUCAGGGGUCUGGGCCCUAUGGGCGUGGUGUUCUCAGAAUUAGGAACUCGAUCCCCAUUGGGAGAGAGCCAUCGCUAAGGUUAGGGUAUGUUCCAGCGACAUAAGCACUGCUGAAGCGACACCAGUCCCUUGAGGUACAUAGGGGGCUGAAUAGGGCGCAUGCACAGUUGCAGGUCAGAUGUAGGGUUACGGUUGGAGUUGGUGAGGUUGGUGUGUAUAGUUAUGUUCAUUGUCAUAGUUCUGUUCAUAGUUAUGUUCAUGGUGAGGUUGGUGUGUAUAGUUAUGUUCAUUAUUGGGUUUGGGGUUAAGUCCUAGGUGGCUCCUAGUGAUUAACCAACAGCAAUGCAGUGAGCUUCCCGGAGGGCUCAGUGGAGGGCAUAUUGCAGGUUGUCCGUCAUGCUUAGUCUUUGUUUGCCAGGGCAAGCCUCCAUCAUGGGCCAUUCUUUGAGACUCAGUAACCACUUCUGCAGCAACAUCUGGGCUUUGGAUAUUACAUGGUGAUAUUCCACAUUCCACGCCGAGUAAUACUCCUCCUCCUCUGGACUCCAUGUGUGUGGUAUCCUCAGACUAAAGAAUUGAGUCACCAUCAGGAGAGAGCCUUAGUUUGAGUUAGGGUUUGCUUCAAGGCCAUAAGCAGUGCUGAGGCAACACUACUCACGUUAUCUACAUGGGGUGUUGGAUGAGGGACCAUGCGCACGUGAGGGCUGGUGUAGGAUUAGUGUUAGAGUUGGAGUGAGGUUUAGGUUGAGGAGUACUGUGAGGGUCACAGUUAGGGUUAGGGUCCAGGAGGCCCUAGGUGCUGAAACCCAAGCAGUGCAGUGAUCUCCCUGGAGGGCUGAAGGAGGUCGCAUUGGAGGGUGCCGGCCAGGCUUAGUCUUUAGGGGCUAGGGCCAGCCUUGGAUAUGGACCACACUUUGGUUGGGCCUCAGCAACCCCCUUGUGCAGCUCCCUCUGGGCUUUGGAAAUUACCUCGUCAUGUUCCACGUUCCAUGCUGAGGAAUCCGGCUCCUUUUCUGAACCCCACAUGUGUGGUUUGCACAGAAGUAAGUAUUGGGUCACCAUGGGGAGACAGCCUAAAAUGGAGUUCGGGUUCGUUCAGGGACGUAAGCAGGGCCGAAGCGACAGCAGUCCCGUGAUCUCCCUGGAGGGCUGAAGUGAGGGUCCCUGCGAGGGUGCGGGUCAGUUGUAGGUUAUGUUUAGGGGUGAUGUUUAGGUUGAGGGGUACUUUGAAGGUCAUGGUUAUUGUUAGGUCUCACGAGGCUCUAGGUGCAAAAACCCCAGGAAGGAUGUGGUCUCCAAGAGGGGCUGAGUGGAUCCCACAUGGGAUUGUGCUGAUCAGGCUUUGUCUUUGAGUGCUCGAUCAAGCCUCUUGUGUGAGUCACUCUUCAGUUGGGCCUCAGGAACCCCCUUGUGCAGCUCCUUGUGGGUAAUGGAAAUGACACGAUUAUGCUCCAAGAUCCAUGCCGAGGAAUCCUGCAAAGCUUUGGGCCCCAUGUGUGUGGUCUCUCAGAGUUAGGCAUUGGAUCCCCAUCGGGAUUCAGCCACAACUAGGGUUAGGGUUCGGUCCAGGGAGGCAAGCAAGGCCGAAGAAUCAGCAAUCCCGUUACCUACAUGGAGGUUUGAAUGAGGGCCCAUGCGCGGGUGAGGGUCCGGUGUAGGGUGUCAGGUGAAGCCUUAGAGCUGGGGUGAGGUUGAGGUUGAGGAGUAUGUUGAUGGUCACGUUUACGGUUUGGGUUAGGUUCCAGGAGGUACGAGGUGCUGUACCCCAAGGAGUCCAGUGGUCUCACUGGAGGAAUCAGUGGACGGCAAAUGGUAGGUUGCCCUCAGGCUUAGUCUUUGGGUGCCGAAGCCAGCAUCAGUUGUGGGGCAAUCUUCGGAUGGGCCUCAGCAAACCCUUUUUGCAGCUUCCUCUGGGCUUUGGAAAUUACCUGUCAAUGUUCCACGUUCCAUGCGAGUAACGCUGCAGCGCUUCUGGGCCCCAUAUGUGUGGUGACUGAGACUUAGGAAUUUGUUCCUCAAUGGGAGAGAGCCAAUACUAGGGUUAGGUAUCGGCCCAGGGAUGUAGAUAGGGCCAAAUCCACAUGAGUCCGUGAUCGUUCUGGAGGACUCCAUAGGGCCCAUGCUUCGGUGUGGGUCAUGUGUAGGGUUAGCGUUAGAGUUGGUGUGAAGUUUAGGUUGAGGUGUAUGGUGAGGGUCAAGUUUAGUGUUAGGGUUAGGUCCCAGGAGUUUCCAGGCAGUGAACGCCUAGCAGUGCAGUGGUCUCCACAGAGGGCUGAGUGGAAGCUGCAUGCAAGUCUACAGUUCAGACUAAUUCUUUGCAUGCCAGGGCAGCAUCCUAUUGUGACACUCUUCAGUUGGGCCUCAGCAACCUCUUUAUGCAGCUCCAUCCCAGCAGUGCAAAUGAAAUGAUGAUGUUCCAAUUCCAUCCUGAAGUAUACUGCAGGGGUUUGGACCCUAUGUACAUGGUGUUCUCAGAGUUAGGAACUGUAUCCCCAUUGGGGGGAGCCAUAGCUAGGGUCAGGAUUCGGUCCAGGGACAUAAGGAGGGCCGAGGUGACACCAGUCCCAUUAUCUACAUGGAGGGCUGUAUGAGAGCCCAUGCAGGGGUGCAGGUCAGGUGUAGCGUUACCUUUAGAGUUGGGGUGAGGUUGAGGAUAAUGUGUAUGGUUCUGGUCAAUAUAAUGGUUAGGUUUUGUCCCAGGUCCCCCAGACGCUGAAGCACCAGCAGUGCUGGUCUUCCUGCAGGGUUCAGUGGUGAGCACAUGGGAGGGUGUAGGUCAUGCUUAGUCUUUGAGAGCCAGGGUGAGCCUCCUUUGUGGGCCACACUUUGGUUGAGCCUCAGGAACUGCUUCUGAAGCAACAUCUGGGCUUUGGAUAUUACAUGGUGAUAUUCCACGUUCCAUGCCUAGGAAUCCGCCUCUUCUUCUGGAAGGGAGGUAUCCUCAGACUUAAGAAUCGGGUCACCAUCUGGAGAGAGCUUUAGAUAGAGUUCGGUUUCAGACCAGGGCCAUAAGGGGGGCCACAGCUAACCCGUUCCACUUACCUCCAUGGGGUGAUGAAUGAUAGCCAGUGUGCAGGUGAGGGUCAGCUGUAGGGUUAGCGUUAGUGUAGGAAUGAGUUUGAGGUUCAGGGUAUGGUGAGGGUCAUGGUUAGUGUUAGGGUUAGGGCCCAAGAAAUUCCAGGCGGUGAACCCCUAGCAUCACAGUGGUCUCCACGGAAGGCUGAGUGGUGGCUGCAUGGGAGCCUUCAGUUCAGACUUAUUCUUUGUGUUUCAAGGCCAGCCUCUUGUGUGUGCCACUAUUCAUUGGGUCUCAGUAGCCUCCUGGGGCAGCUCCAUCCCAGCAGUGGAAACGAAAUGAUGAUGCUCCACUUCCAUACCGAAUAAUACUGUAGGGGUUUUGACCUAUAUGCGUGGUGUUUCAGAAUUAGGACCUGGAUAUCCAUUGGGAGAGAACCACGGAUAGGGUGAGGUUCUGUCCAGGGACAUAAGCAGGGCUGAAGAGACACCGGUCCCAUUAUCUCCAUAAGGGCCUGUAUGAGGGCCAAUGCACGGGUGAGGGUCAGGUGUAGGGUUAGCAUUAGCGUUGGGCUGAGGUAUAGGUUGAGUAGUAUGGGGAGGGUCACAGUUGGGGUUAGGGCUAGGUUCCAGGAGGCCCAAAGUGCCGAAUCCAUGGCAGUGCAGUUGUUUCCCUGGGGGACCCAGAGGAGGGUGCAUGGGAGGGUGCCGGUCAUGCUUAUUCUUUGGGUGCCAAGGCCAGCCUCUUGUGUGGACCACUCUUCGGUUGGUUCUCAGCAACCCCCUUGUGCAGGUCCCUCUGGGCUUUGGAAAUGGCAUGGUGAUGUUCCCCGUUCCAUGCCAAGUAAGCCUGCACCGCAUCUGGGGCCCAUGUGCGUGGUUUUCUCUGAGUUAGGAAUUGGGUCCCAUCGGGAAUGAGCUGUAGCUAGGGCAAGGGUUUGAUCCAGGGAUGGGACGUAAGCAAGGCCGAAGGAACAACAAUCCUUUACCCCCAUGGAGGGCUGAAUGAGGGCUCAUGCACGGAUGCGGGUCACGUGUAGGGUUAGCGUUAGACUUAGGGUGAAGUUCCGAUUGAGGAUUAUGGAGUGGGUCAUGAUUAGGGUGAGGGAUAGCUCCAAGGAGUCCCCAGGUGAUGAACCCCAUGCAGUGCAGUGGUCUCCUGGGAGGGCUCAGUGGAGGGCACAUGGGAGGGUUCUGGUCAGGUUUAGUCUUUGGUUACCAGUGCCAGCCUUGCAUGUGGGCCACUUUUGGGCCUCAGCAAGCACUUUGGCACCUCCCUCUGGUAUUUGGACAUGACAUGGUGGUGGUCCACGCUCCAUGUGGAGUAAUCCUGCACCGCUUCUGGGCCACAGGUGCGUGAUAUUCUCUGCAUUAGGAAUUGGAUCCCCAUCGGGAUAGAGAAAUAGCUAGGGUUAGAGUUAGAUCCAGGGACAUAAGCAAGGCCAAAGCAACAACAAUCCAUUUAUCUACAGUGAGUAUGAAUGAGGGCCAUGUGCGGUAGCUGGUCAGGUGUAGGGUUAGUGUUAGAAUUGGGGUGAGGUUUUGAUUGAGGAAUACGGCGAGGAUCAUGGUGAGGGUUAGGGGUAGGUUCCAGGAGGCGCUUAAGUGCAGAAACCUAAGUAGUGCAGUGGUCUCCUAGAGGGUUGAGUGGAGGGUGCAAAGGAUGGUGCCAUUCCUUCUUAGUCUUAGGGUGUCAAGGCCAUCCUUGGGUGUAGGACACUCCUUAGUUGGGCCUCAGCAGAGCCCUUGUUCAGCUCCCUCUGGGCUUUGGAAAUGACAUGGUGAUGUUCCAGGUUCCAAGCCGAGUGAUUUACACCAUGAGCGUGCUGUUGUCAGUCAUUGGAAUUGGGUUCCCAUGAGGAGGAGACUUAGCUAGGGUUAGGGUUCAUUGCAGGGACAUCACCAGGCCAGACUGACUCCAGUCUCGUGAAUUUCAUGGAGGGCUUAAGUGAGAAACCUUGUGAGGGUACGGGUCUGGUAUAGAGUUAGUGUAAGAGAUAGGUUUCGGUUUAGGUUGAGGGCUAAGUUCAGGGUUCUGGUUACGGUUGGGGUUAGGUCCCAGGAGGCUCCAGAUGCUGAACCCACAGCAGUGCAGUGGUCUCCCUGAAGUGCUGACUGGAGUACACAACGGAUGCUGCGGGUCAGGAUUAGUCUUUCGGUUGCCAGGCCAGGCAACUCUUUCUGGCACUCUUCGGGUAAGCCUCAGGAAUGCUCUCGGGCACAACGGAGGCUGCCGGUCAGGAUUAGUCUUUGGGUUCCAAGGCUAGACAAGUGUAUUGGACACUCUUUGGGGGAGACCUCAGGAAUCCUCUUAUGCAGCAGCAGCCGGGCUUUGGAAAUGACAUGGUGAUGUUCCACGUUCCACGCCGAGUGAUCCUGCACUGCUUCUCGACCCCAUGUGCAUUCUGUUGUCAGACAUUGGGAUUGGGUACCCAUGGAGAGUGAGUUUUAGCUAGGGUUAGGAUUCAGUGCAGGGAUGUGGCCAGGGCCAAAGGACUCCAGUCUCGUGAUCUCCCUCGAGGGCUGAAGUGAGGGCACAUGCGCUGGUGUGGGUCUGGUGUAGAGGUAUUGUGAGAUAUAUGGUCAGGUGAGAUUGAGGGUUAUCAUCAGGGUUAUGGUUGGGGUUAGGGUAGGUCAAAGAAGGAUCCAGGCGCUGUACCCACAGCAGUGCAAUUGUCUCCCCGAAGGGCUGAGUCAGUACACAAUGGAGGCUGCUCGUCAGAAUUAGUCUCUGGGUUCCAAGGACGGACAACUCUAUAAGGUCUGAUGUAGAUAGGUGGGUCUAGUGUGAUAGAAACUGUUAGAUUUAGGUUGAGGGUUAUGGUUAGGGUUACGGUUAGGUUUAGAGUUAGGUCCCAGGAGUCUCCAGGCGUUGAACCCACAGCAGUGCAGUCGUCUCCUGGAAGAGUUGAGCGGAGUGCACAAUGGAGGCUGCCAGUCAGGAAUAGUCUUUGGUUUCCAAGGCCAGACAACUGUAUUGGGCACUCUUCAGUUAGGCCUGUUGAAUCCUCGAGUGCAGUGGCAGCCGGGCUUUUGAAAUGACAUGAUGAUGUUCCACAUUCCACACCAAGUAUUCCUGCACUGCUUCUCAAUUCCAUGUGUGUGCUGAUGUCAGACUGUGAAUUGGGUCCCCAUGGGGAAGGAGCCUUAGCCAGGGUUAGGGCUCGGUGCAGGGAAGUCACCAGGGCUGAAGCAACUCCAGUCUAGUGAUGUCCCCCAAGGGCUGACCUGAGAUCCCAUGCAAGGGUGCGUCUCAAGUGUAGGGUUAGGGUUAGAAACAGGGUUACGAUUAGGUUGAGAGUUAUGGUUAGGGGUACAGUUAGGGUUUUCUUCGUUCCCAAGGCUCCAAGCGCUGAACCCACAGCAGUGCAGUUGCCUCCACAAAUGACUGAGUGGUAUGCACAACAAGGCUGCGGGUCAGGAUUAAUCUUUGGGUUCUAAGGCCAGACAACUGUAUCUGGUCUGGUGUAGAUAGGUGUGUCUAGUGUGAGUGAUAGGGUUAGGUUUAGGUUGAGGGUUAGCAUUGGGUCCUGGUUAGCAUUAGGGUUAGGUCCCAGGAUGUUCCAGGCACUGAAACCAUAGCAGAGCAGUUGUCUCCCCAAAGGGCAGAAGGGAGUACACAAGGGAGGGUGCUGGUCAGGAUUAGUCUUUUGGUUCCAAGGCCAGACAACUGUAUGGGCCACCCAUCGUUUAGGCCUCAGGAAUCCUCUUGUGCAGCUGCAGCCGCGCUUUGGAAAUACAUGGAGAUGUCCACAUUCAAUGCUGAGUGUUCCUGAACCGUUUCUGGUCCUGGUGUGUGUGCUGUUAUUAGUCUUUCGAUAUGGAUCCCCAUGGGAAGAGGGCCUUAGGUUAUAGUUUUAGAUUUAGCGGGUAGAGUUAGAGCGUUAGGAUGAGGGUUUUAGGGUUAGAAUUAGAGGCUUAGGGUUAGAGGGUUAGGGUAAGGUUAGGAUUAGUUCGGGUUAUGUUUAUGUUUACGGUUAGUUAGAGGUAGGGCUAGGGUUAGGGGAAGGGUAGGGGCAGGAUUUAGCAUUAGGGUUAUGGUUAGGGUUAGGUGUUAGGUUUAGGUGGUGGGAUUUUGUUUAGUGAUAGGGUUAGGAGUUGGGCAAGGAGUAGGUCAUGCUUGCAUCCCCACUUUGAGCGGGAAGGUGUUCAUGCGUGGACACCGCCCUCCAUGUUCAAGGGAUUGUGUUCUUGCUAUCGCCCCAGUCUCUCGACUGUAGGUUGUUCUUGCCUCGCCCAUUCCAGCUUUGCUCUGGAGUUUUUCACACCGUCACCCCACCCCCUCUCAGUAUGGUAAUAUUUCACGUUCCACCCAAUCGCUUUUGGUGCAAGGGGUGUGUUCACACAUGCGACCCUCCACACCCUCUACGUGCGAUGGUGUCACCCAUGAGCCUCACAGCUCCUUAGAUUGGGAUUACUGAUGCCAGGAUUAAAUCUGAUACUGAUGCCAGUAUUAAAUCAUGAAUAUCUAUUUUCAGUUUCACAACUGAAGAAGUAGGCGUUUCUUAAGGUAAGGUUUAUGGUUAGGAUUAAUGUUAGGUGUCCGUUAAGGUUUAGGGCAUGGUGCACCCCCCUUGGUGUGGGAUGGCUUCACGAAUGUGUCCCAUCUGCUUCCCUUUAUCUGCCAUGUAGCAGUGAUAUUCCUUUUAAUUCAGAUGUUUUCCUUGGCACCUGGAUGUCUCUGAGUUAAGCGUCCCACUUCGUCUUGGUUCAUGAUCUCUCAGUUUCUGGUUUUGAGCCCCCUGGGUAGCUUCUGUGCUGAUAGCUGGGAAUCUGGAGCCUGCUUCAGAUACUAUCUGUCUCUCUCUCUCUCUCUGCCCAUGCCCCACUUGUGUUCUUUGUGCCUUUCAAAAAUUAAUGUACCUAAAAGCAUUUUCAAUCCGAUAUUUCCUGGAUGGCUCUUUUCACUUUCAUUGCUGAAGAAGCAGGCGUCUGUCUCGUUCAUUGUUCUUUUGUUAUCUUUGGCAUAGCUGACAACAUAUACGACAUUUCCCCAGCCAGCAUCGGGGAUGCGCAGCAUUUCUUCUACCAGCCGGACACCUCUCAUCCACUGUAACACUGCAUUCCUCUAGAGCAUCCCACAUGCUCUCGGAAACUGGACUGUAACUGUGGAUGGUAGCAGUGUCCCAUAGUCUUCUGAUGGUAUUUCAGGAGGUUCUUCAUUCGCAUCUUUGGUUACCUGAGUGUCUUCUGACAUCUCUCAUGUUUCCACUAGGCCGCUGCUAUGAUGCUCAACAGGGAACCUGAAGCACACUGGGAUUCAGGAGCAGACCAACUACCACUUGGCUCCCACAAAUGGUCGCCUUGGAACUCUUUAUGGAAGAGGAGAAAACACCCACCACCACCGUUUCAUAACCCUGCACCGAAUGUGGAGACAACAAUCACCCACCCCCAAAGGAAACUCUAGCAGGGUACAUGUAUCAAACCUAAGGUGUUGGUUAUGUAUUUUGGAUCAAUAAGUGAGGUUGUACUUUUGACUGGUAAGUGUACAUCUAAAUCCCUCAGAGGGGAUAUUCUCUGAGGUCACCCCAACCUAAAUUGUUGGCCCAUGGGGAGAUGUGUUGUCCCUACUGAUUGUAUUGAUGUUGUCUCUGUAGGCCAGUGAAUUAAAGCUCCAUAGGGUCUUGUCCUGUUCUUGCCUCUUCACGGGAAGGUCCAUUUCACCUAUUGAAAAAGACAGCAAGGGAGUAGUGUUGGCACUAUUAAAUCUGACGUUUCAUGAAUGAGUCUUUUCACUUUCAUGGCUGAAGAAGCAGCAUCUCUUAUGAUGAGGGUUAGGGUUUGGAUUAUCCUGAGGAUUAGGGUAAGGGUUAAGUCAUGCUUGCACCCCCGUUUUGACAAGGGAGGAAGGUCACACCUGACCCCCGCCACCCUCCUUGUGGAAGGGUGUUCAGGCAUGCAGCCUGCCUCCCCUCCACAAGGGAGUAGUGAUGCCACUACUUAAUGUGUUGUUUCAUGAAUGGCUCUUUUCCCUUUCACAGCUGAAGAAGCAGGCAUUUCUUAAGGUAAGUGUUAUGGUUAGGAUUGCCGUUCAUGGUUAGGGUAAGGGAUAGGCCAUGCCUGCACCCUCCCUUGGAGUGGGAGGGCGUUCACACAUGAGCCACGCACCCCCUCAUCUCGGGAGGGUGUUCACCAAUAGGAACCAGUCCCCUUCAGCGGGGGGAUGUUGAUGUAUGCGCCUGCACCCAUCUCGUGUGCGAGGGUGUUCAUGCAUGGACACCACAACCCUUGGCGAGGGAGGGCAUUUGUCCAUGCACCAUGCCCUCCUUGCCUCAGGAGGUGUUCACGCAUGAGCACAGUGCCCCCUUGGCUUGAGAAGGUGUUCAGGUAGGUGCAUGAACCUGCCCCCCAGCGUGGGAGGGGGUUCACGCAUGUGCCCUCCCCCCUCAGGCGCUGGAGGGGUCACAUGUGCACAGCACCACUAGUCAGCAAGGGAGUAGUGGUGCCACUAUUAAAUCUGACGUUUCAUGGACGGCUGUUUUCACUUUCACAGCUGAAGAAGCAUGCAUCUCUUAAGGUCAGGGGUAGGGUUAGCAUUACAUUUAGGGGUUAAGAUAAGAGCUAGGUCAUGCUUGCUCUCCCCCCUCAGCACGGGAAGACUUCACGCAUCACCCCACUAUCCUGAGCAAGGGAGAGUGUUCACCUUUUCACCCCAAUCCCUGAGAGUGGUAAAAUAUUGAAGCACGUGCUCCACUCCACUUCCUUUGGGGAGGGCUUUCACACAUGCGUAGAUCCCCCCUUCAGGACAGAUUGUUCACAUAUGUGCAUGACCACCUGUCGGGUCGGGAGGGUGUUCACUCAUGGGCACACCCCACCUCUGCAUGGGAGAUGGUUCAUGCAUGUGUCUUGCUCACCUCUGCAGGGAGGGUUUUUACGCAUGUGCACAGCCCCACCUUGGUGUGGGAGGAGGUCACCCAUGCAGAGCGCCACCCUUCAAUGAGGAUAUAGUGAUGCCAUUAUUAAAUGUGAUGUUUCAUGAAUGGUUCUUUUCAAUUUCACAGCUGAAGUAGCAGACAACUCUUAAGCUGAAGAAGCAUGCAUCACUUAAGCUGAAGAAACGCGGCCAGGGAGGGCGUUGACGUAUGCUCCCCGCUCCCCUCGCCAGGAUGCUGUUCACGCAUGUGCAAAGUCCCCCCCCCUUGCCAAAGGGGGUUCAAGCAUGCCCACAACCCCCGCUCUGUGAGGCAGACCAUUUGUACAGGCACACAACCCUCCCUCAGCAAGGGAAAGUGUUCAUGCUUGGCCCCACUCACUUCGGUGGGAAGGGUGUUCACACAUGCACAUAACCCCCCUCAGCAUUGGAGGGCGUUCAAAAAUGUGCCCCACCCUACUUGACGCCAGAGGUGGUUCAGGAUUCUGCCUUGCCCCUGGUUGGUGUGUGAGAUGGUCACCCAUGCACAGUGCCACCUUUUAGGGAGAGAGUAGUGGUGUCACUAUUAAAUGUGAUAUUUCACGAAUGGUUCUUUCACUUUCACAGCUGAAGAAACACACAUCUCUUAAGGCUUGCAUCUUCCCUCUACCUCUAUACUCCAAGUUCCUGGCUGGCACUGGAAUUACAUCUUUAGCACGGACAUCAUAACCUCCAGGUGAGAUUCAGGCUUGUUUCCGGGAAGAAACCCUGACAGAAAUUCAGAAGAACAGGAGCUGCAUUCCAUUAGGACAUGAAUACAUGAAAUACUCGUCUUGGGAACUCCUAGAAGAAUGAGCUGGGACCCACUUUCGAGUCCUGCUAGAACCAGUGACCGAGAAAAUAAAAACGCCCUGGUAGACAAGUGUGAUGCAUUGAGGUCUGUGAAAGCCACAAAGGAAGCAAAAGUCAAACAGCUGAAGGAGAAAGCACAUAACCUAGAAGAAUUCUAUGAACGAAGAAAAGUGCCUACAAAAAAGAAGCUGAAAAUGACACUGUGAACUGGCGGCAAAGAAGAAUCAGCUAGCAGCUGCAGAUCUCAAGUAGUGACCAGACUGUGUGGAAACUUUGUCCAUGCUAACAUUCCUCGGGGGUGGUGUCAAUUGUCGUCAUCUGUAGGAAAGCAGUGUGUCGUACAAUGAAUCAUACCCAUCAACGUGGUAGUGCCAUUUCAUGGCCCUCGUCUUUGCAACCCUGGGAAACAUGGCAACAAAUUGAACAAACACGGGAACAGCUGCAGCAGGCAGAGCUCACCUUUAGAUACCAGUUCACGAGAUGAAUGCUCAGGACAACUAGAUCAAGACUCAGAUCUGGGACAGGGAGAUGGCGGAGCAGGGCAGGGAGGUCGCUUACUUGAAAUACAGACUGGACGGGAUGAAAGCAAAGAGGCUGCCUGAGGGAUACACGAGGCAGAAACCAAUGGCUGCAAGACCAGAGAAGCAGAACCCUCCGAGGAGAGGGCAGUCUGGAUCCUGGGGACUUCCUCCGUUAACUGGAUGAUUCUGCAUGCCCCACCCCCAUGGACUAUUAGGCACAUCCACCUCCUGAACCUUGGUGGCCCUGGGGCCACCCGGAACCCCUCCACCUGCAACACUUGGAUUUUUUGCAGGUCCAGAAGUAGAUGUCACAACCAAGAGUGACAUCGACACUGGCUCUGCCAAAACUGCCGAGAAGCACAAAGUAAAUGCUGUGGCCAUUUUCAGUUCUAAGUCUUUACGGACAGCCACAUCUUUCUGUACAGGACACUCUCUUGCCAUUGUCUCUGGUUUGUGUGAAGUAUGGUCUGUCUGUUGUUUUUGUUUUUUUCCCAAAUGCAAAACCUUUACCGCCGAGUCUAUGGGCUUCCCUGUUUUCCAGCUGGCAUCUGUUUGUGGUAACUUGAGCAGCUAAGCGUGCCUAAAGGUGGGGAUCAUAGGGCUUUUCCAAUGUAUUCCUGGAAUAAAUCAAGGAUGAUGACACCACAUUCCA